RNAcentral lists this ribosomal RNA (496 nucleotides) under uncultured bacterium. Its description in RNAcentral is "partial 16S ribosomal RNA". It matches the Rfam family "Bacterial small subunit ribosomal RNA", at positions 28 to 506 of the family's 1533-position model. The record is from RNAcentral.
GAUGAACGCUGGCGGCGUGCCUAAUACAUGCAAGUCGAGCGAACAGACGAGGAGCUUGCUCCUCUGACGUUAGCGGCGGACGGGUGAGUAACACGUGGAUAACCUACCUAUAAGACUGGGAUAACUUCGGGAAACCGGAGCUAAUACCGGAUAAUAUAUUGAACCGCAUGGUUCAAUAGUGAAAGACGGUUUUGCUGUCACUUAUAGAUGGAUCCGCGCCGCAUUAGCUAGUUGGUAAGGUAACGGCUUACCAAGGCAACGAUGCGUAGCCGACCUGAGAGGGUGAUCGGCCACACUGGAACUGAGACACGGGCCAGACUCCUACGGGAGGCAGCAGUAGGGAAUCUUCCGCAAUGGGCGAAAGCCUGACGGAGCAACGCCGCGUGAGUGAUGAAGGUCUUCGGAUCGUAAAACUCUGUUAUUAGGGAAGAACAAAUGUGUAAGUAACUAUGCACGUCUUGACGGUACCUAAUCAGAAAGCCACGGCUAACUACGU